Molecule: ribosomal RNA, 247 nt
Filed under: uncultured bacterium
Lineage: Bacteria
Description: partial 16S ribosomal RNA
Rfam family: Bacterial small subunit ribosomal RNA
Source: RNAcentral
CGUCGAGCGGCGAACGGGUGAGUAACGCGUAGGAAUCUACCUAGUAGAGGGGGAUAGCCCGGGGAAACUCGGAUUAAUACCGCAUACGCCCUAAGGGGGAAAGCAGGGGAUCUUCGGACCUUGCGCUAUUAGAUGAGCCUGCGUCGGAUUAGCUAGUUGGUAAGGUAAAGGCUUACCAAGGCGACGAUCCGUAGCUGGUCUGAGAGGAUGAUCAGCCACACUGGAACUGAGACACGGUCCAGACUCC